Molecule: ribosomal RNA, 491 nt
Filed under: uncultured bacterium
Lineage: Bacteria
Description: partial 16S ribosomal RNA
Rfam family: Bacterial small subunit ribosomal RNA
Source: RNAcentral
GAUGAACGCUGGCUACAGGCUUAACACAUGCAAGUCGAGGGGAAACGCCGGGGAAGCUUGCUUCCCCGGGCGUCGACCGGCGCACGGGUGAGUAACGCGUAUCCAACCUGCCUCUGACUGAGGGAUAACCCGUCGAAAGUCGGCCUAAUACCUCAUGGCAUCGUCUGCGGGCAUCCAACGACGAUUAAAGAUUUCAUCGGUCAGAGAUGGGUAUGCGUCUGAUUAGCUUGUUGGCGGGGUAACGGCCCACCAAGGCGACGAUCAGUAGGGGUUAUGAGAGUAAGCUCCCCCAGAGUGGAACUGAGACACGGUCCAAACACCUACGGGAGGGAGCAGUAAGGAAGAUUGGUCAACGGACGAGGGCCUGAACCAGCCAAGUAGCGUGCAGGAGGCCGGCCCUAUGGAUUGUAAACUGCUUUUAUGCAGGGGUAAAGUGAGGGACGUGUCCUUCAUUGCAGGUACCGAAUGAAUAAGGACCGGCUAAUUCCGUG